This 1165-nucleotide ribosomal RNA is filed under the name Calotes emma. RNAcentral's name for it is "partial 16S ribosomal RNA". It matches the Rfam family "Bacterial large subunit ribosomal RNA", at positions 558 to 2593 of the family's 2925-position model. Lineage: Eukaryota; Metazoa; Chordata; Lepidosauria; Squamata; Agamidae. The record is from RNAcentral.
AAGCCAAAAAAAGCAGGAAUAAAACCCCGUACCUCUUGCAUCACAGUCUAGCAAGAAUACACAGACAAAAAGCCUUCAAGUCUGUCAUCCCGAACGCAAGUGAGCUAUUUCCGGGCAGUAGUUGAACCAACCCAUUUCUGUAGCAAAAGAACGGGAAGACCCGGAAAUAGAGGCGAAAAACCAACCGAACCUGCUGAUAGCUGGUUGCCCGAUAAACGAAUUUAAAUUCAAACUUGAGUAACGACAUCAUAAAGUAAUGUAACCUUUACCCAAGAAUUAGUCAAUGAAGGUACAGCUCCAUUGACCUAGGAUACAGCCUCCAUCAGAGAGUAAUUUUACUAACACUAACUGUUGACCUCAAAACAGCCACCAAAAAAUAUAACGUUACAGUAACAGGAAAAAAAUUCUAAACUGACUGACCUCCUGGUUCUUUCCCGGGCCACUCUAUCCACAAAAUAGAAGAAACCAUGCUAAAACAAGUAAUAAGAAAAAUUCUCCACGGACAAAAUUCUACCAUUAUCAGACCAAAAACGGAAACAUGAAACCUGCUUAACGCACCAUAAACCACACUGUAAAACCAACCCCGGAUUGUCCACAGAGUGAUUUAAAGCCUAAAAAGGAACUCGGCAAAAAUAUUUGACCUUUCCAACUGUUUACCAAAAACAUAGCCUUUAGAUUUUAAUAAUAUUAAAGGUACUGCCUGCCCAAUGAGAGUAAAACUCUUAAAUGGCCGCGGCAUAACCGUGCAAAGGUAGCAAAAUCAUUUGUCCCCCAAAUAGGGACCAGUAUGAAUGGCCACAUGAGAAAGAAACUGUCUCUUUAGGCCCCUCAAUGAAACUGAUCUGUCUGUACAAACGCAGACAUAAAAAAGCAAGACAAAAAGACCCUGUGAAACUUUAAGAGUCAGUCAUACAAUUGACCAAGACACUUUCGGUUGGGGCAACCAAAGAGAAACAGAAACCUCUUUAACCGCCACACGGCAAACAAGCCUAACGGCAAAUCUACAGACCCAGUAUUACUGAGAAAAGAACCAAGCUACUCCAGGGAUAACAGCGCUACAUUCUUGAAGAGUCCAUAUCGACAAGAAUACCUACGACCUCGAUGUUGGAUUAGGAUAUCCGAAUGGCGCAAAAGCUAUUAAUGGUUCGUUUGUCAACGAUUAAAA